Molecule: non-coding RNA, 23 nt
Filed under: Cricetulus griseus (Chinese hamster)
Lineage: Eukaryota; Metazoa; Chordata; Mammalia; Rodentia; Cricetidae
Source: RNAcentral
UCAAUGAGACUGGCGACGAGCCC